RNAcentral lists this non-coding RNA (1080 nucleotides) under Pongo abelii (Sumatran orangutan). The record is from RNAcentral. Lineage: Eukaryota; Metazoa; Chordata; Mammalia; Primates; Hominidae.
GGUCUUUCCUAUUCUCAUUCAGGGGCCAGAAACAUGGGCCCCAUGCCCUCCACCCUCCUUUCCUGAAAGAAUAGGAAAAUAAGGGCACCGAGCAGCAGCUCCUACAUCUCUUUCACCAAUUUGAAAUCUCAAGCUUCUUUGUAAAUAGGUGAGAGUUCUUAUGUGAAACUGACAUUGGGGGAGGGCUGCCCAGCCAGUUGUGGAGGGGCCCUUGUCUCAUCUCCCUUAAGCUUUAUAGAUUUCCUUCUUUCAUAUGACGUGUGCAGAGGUACUCUUUGCAGCUGUGUUUCCAAUAGGCCAAGAAGAAUGAAGUGCUGUGGGUGUGGCCUCCAUAGUGGAGGGCCAGCACUGCAAUUGUUCCUAGUGGAGAAUAUUUCUCAAGCCCCCUCAUCAGUAAGAAGAAGGGGGCCCAUGGAAGACAUAGAUAUGAGAUGCAGAGCAUAAGCAAGCAGCUGUUACCAUAGCAACAGACAUAUUAGACACUGCAGGUUCCUGAAAGCUGUCUGAUAAGGUAUUAUUAAAUGAAGCCUCCUCAAAACGCACUCCAUUUACAACUGAACAGAAAGACGUUGUGUAGAAAGUAAUCUGUUUCCAUUUAUCAGGGUGGAAUUUACUUUUAGUGGGACUGAACCGAACUGAAGCUAAAUCCUGAGACUUUGGAUCCAGACAGCAAAAAAUAUUUACCAGAAUUUAUAGCUGUAAAUACCCCGGACACACCCCAUGUCUGCCAGGAAUCAUCUAUUUGGGGGAUUUUGCAAGCUUUUCCUAUUCUGCAGCCAACAGCAAAUAACUCAGUCAACCCAUUUGGAAAGAAAGAAGAUUCACUCCUCUUGCUGCCAUUCAUCCUAGCCACUCAGGGACAAAGCAGACAUAACUUUCUUCUCCUGGAGCAUGAAUGACCGUAGAACUGGCCAUUCCUUAAUGAUAUGGUUUAGAAAAUGGAGCCCUGAUUAGAGGGGCAUUUUUCAUCAUGCUGUUUUCAGUUUCCUGCUCUAGUUGGCCAUGAACAAACAUAUAUCGUUAGAAAGCCUAACCAAUACUUUCCUGGGGCCAAUUUUCUAAUAAAAUGACAGUAAAAUA